This 479-nucleotide ribosomal RNA is filed under the name uncultured bacterium. RNAcentral describes it as "partial 16S ribosomal RNA". It matches the Rfam family "Bacterial small subunit ribosomal RNA", at positions 28 to 499 of the family's 1533-position model. The record is from RNAcentral.
GACGAACGCUGGCGGCGUGCUUAACACAUGCAAGUCGAACGAUGAAGCCGGAGCUUGCUCUGGUGAAUUAGUGGCGAACGGGUGAGUAACACGUGAGUAACCUGCCCUUGACUCUGGGAUAACUGCUAGAAAUGGUAGCUAAUACCGGAUACGACCCUCGGAGGCAUCUCCAGGGGGUGGAAAGAAUUUCGGUCAAGGAUGGACUCGCGGCCUAUCAGCUAGUUGGUGAGGUAACGGCGCGCCAAGGCGACGACGGGUAGCCGGCCUGAGAGGGUGACCGGCCACACUGGGACGGAGACACGGCCCAGACUCCUACGGGAGGCAGCAGUGGGGAAUCUUGCGCAAUGGGCGAAAGCCUGACGCAGCAACGCCGCGUGAGGGAAGAAGGCCUUCGGGUUGUAAACCUCUUUCAGUAGGGACGAAGCUUCCGGGGUUAAUAGCCUACGGGGUGACGGUACCUACAGAAGAAGCCCCGGCUA